Molecule: ribosomal RNA, 459 nt
Filed under: uncultured bacterium
Lineage: Bacteria
Description: partial 16S ribosomal RNA
Rfam family: Bacterial small subunit ribosomal RNA
Source: RNAcentral
CCUACGGGCGGCAGCAGUGAGGAAUAUUGGUCAAUGGCCGGAAGCCUAAACCAGCCAAGCCGCGUGAAGGAAGAAGGUGCCGAGUAUCGUAAACCUCUUUUGUCAGGGGACAAAAUCAGGGACUAGUCCCCGGCUGAGGGUACCUGAAGAAAAAGCAUCGGCUAACUCCGUGCCAGCAGCCGCGGUAAUACGGAGGAUGCGAGCGUUAUCCGGAUUUAUUGGGUUUAAAGGGUGCGCAGGCGGCCUGUUAAGUCAGCGGUAAAAGCCCGGGGCUCAACCCCGGCGAGCCGUUGAAACUGGCGGGCUGGAGUUGGAGAGAAGUAUGCGGAAUGCGCGGUGUAGCGGUGAAAUGCUUAGAUAUCGCGCAGAACCCCGAUUGCGAAGGCAGCGUACCGGCUCCACACUGACGCUGAGGCACGAAAGCGUGGGUAUCGAACAGGAUUAGAUACCCUAGUAGUC